This 253-nucleotide ribosomal RNA is filed under the name uncultured bacterium. RNAcentral describes it as "partial 16S ribosomal RNA". It matches the Rfam family "Bacterial small subunit ribosomal RNA", at positions 524 to 776 of the family's 1533-position model. The record is from RNAcentral.
GACGGAGGGUGCAAGCGUUGCUCGGAAUCAUUGGGCGUAAAGGGUGCGUAGGCGGCUUUUUAAGUCUGACGUGAAAGCCCAAGGCUCAGCCUUGGAAGUGCGCUAGAAACUGAAAGGCUAGAGUGCCGGAGGGGAGAGUGGAAUUCCUGGUGUAGCGGUGAAAUGCGUAGAUAUCAGGAGGAAUACCGGUGGCGAAAGCGACUCUCUGGACGGUAACUGACGCUGAGGCACGAAAGCGUGGGGAGCAAACAGG